GCGCGCCGUCGAGGUCCCCGCGUCGCCGCCCUCUGCCUUUCGUAACUCGGCGCGGGGUCUGGGUUUGCAGGGCUUUGAAAACGAGCCCCCGGCGCCUUGCGCCCUCUCUUCCGGCGCUCUGGCCGCAGAUUCGGGUAGCGCCGGCCACCGUGGACCAUUUUUCUUUUUUUCCUGCUUCGCGGCGUUCCAGGAUUUUCUCUUCCGGGUCGCUCUGAGGCACGGUCAGGGGUGCCAGCAUUCCCGGUUUGGCAUUGAACCCUCGGACUCUGCAAACACCAUUGAGGGGAAGCCCCCUUUUGCGCGUGCGCCGCGCCUCCUGAGGCCGGGAGCUAAGUCGGGCUGGCAGGGCCAGGUGGCACAUAAGCUCUGCCUCUGGGUUUCUAUUUGGCGUCAUCCGUGUGCAGAGGCGGCUGAGAUUUCGGCAACACAACAGCCUGGCCUUGACUGCAGCUCCAUCCCCAGCUCGGCAUUCGGAUCCAUAGCCUGGGUCGUGGAAGCUACUCCUUCGGUGACAAUCCCCCUCCUUCUAAAUGUGGUGGAGCUGACAUUGUGAUCUGGGGAGGCAGGUGAGCCAAUUCUGUCCAAUCAAACUUUUAAUGACUGGAUGCUGGGAACCCCAAAUCCAAAGUAACUUCAAAUUUGCUUCAGAAAUAGAGAAACGCUGAAAUAACCAUCAAACUGGGAGAUUGAUUUGCAUAGUCUUGAGAUACAAACCAGAAAUACAACCUCACAGACCUUAAUUAACCCAGUCACACCUCUCAAUCCUGUUAUCAGAGACUAAAGGAGACCCCCGAGGAUUUGGCUGUAAAGCUUGGCGGCAUCUCUUUGCUCGGAGAAGUGACGUCUCCUGAAUCUUUCUAGACAUAGAGCUUGGCAUAAUAAGGCUUUUGGAAGGCAAAGAGACUGGAAAUAUGAGUCUCCAAUCCCCCUAGAUGACUAAAGUUUCUCCGAAAACAAAGAAAAAAAUGCCCUCACUCAAACUAUAAGAUAACCCCUCUGAAAAUGAAGGAUAAUUUCUAGCCCUUUCAAAAAUAUUUCCAGGAAUUUUAGAAGAUGUUGUGAAAAUCCCAGGACCCAGCUAGCCAGAAACGCUACGUGUGAAUUCUGUUUCUUUCACUCAUAAAACUGCACCCUUGAACAAACCAUCUAACCCCUUUGAAAUCCCUCUCUCACCCAUAAAACGAGGAGAGUAUUGAAAGGAUUCACUUUACAGGCGUCAGAAGAUAUUAGAUAUUCCAGUGGGUAAGAAAACAAAAAAAGCAUACCGUAUGAAAGGAAAUGUGCUAAAAGCUUCAUUGUUAUUUCUACUCUGUAUGGAUGAAAUUAAAGCCCAGAGACGUUUAGUAACCCCUGCGAGGUCCCACAGCUAGUAAGUAAAAAACAUAUCAGGGAUCAAAGCCCAGAUCGUGUGAUGUCAAAGCUUAUUUUCUACCUUCUAACAAACUUUACUCAGAACUAGUACAUAGUAGGUGCUCACUUCACACUAGUUCAUUCAUCCUAGAGUUCAUUUAUUCAUUCCACAAACACGGGUGUUUUAGUUUGGGCUAGAUUCUCAUAUGAGCGAAUGAUACAUAACGAAUAAAACGUAGUUUAUACCUUAAAAAUACUUUGGGUGGGCUUCAGGCUGUAUGUUAUAGUGCGGAGGACACUGGAUUGAGGGUUUGAGUCAAGGUUUUCGCUGUUAGCCCGUGAGAGAUGGAAGUGACACAAAGGCCCUCACAAAACUUUGAGACAUAGGUGGCUCACGGGGGUAUCAGGGAACCACUGAUCUGGUCCUUUGUGCCAGUGGAAGACCUGGCCAGGUCUUUGGCAGGUGGCUCUCUCUGUUCUUCUUGUCCCCCAGGCAUGGUGUGACAACAGCUGGCCAGCCCUGGUGAUGAUGGUGGUUUGGUUACUUCUGUUUGUAAGUUCGUACAUAGUCCCUUAGGCCUUGGUUUUAUAAAGUGAGUCUGGCGUCAGAGCCCCACCAUUUGUAAUGUGUGUUUACGUUUGCUUUGGUGGUUCCUGCCUGGGGCAGUUUUGGUGAAGUCUGGAGACAUGCUUGGUUAUCACAACUGGUAGGAAAGAGGGAGGGAGGGUGCACCUUACAGCCAGUGGGUAGCGAUCAGGGGCGCUGCUAAACACCCCCCAAUGUACAGGACACCCCCCACCUCCGCAGAGAAUUAUCCAGCCCCAAAGGUCCGUGGGGCUGAGGUUGGGCAAUUCUGUUUUAUUCCGGAAGCAGUGGACCUCCAGCCGCCCCUGCCUGUUGGGUGGCUCCUACUUCCACUUUGGUCUGGAUGUUCUCUUUGACUUUUAGUCCAAGCAUGUCCUGCUUUUGAGCAUGGCUAUGCCUUUCAGAAAGAUAUUUCAAUAUUUUCACUGUCCAUCUGCGUAUCUGGCAGAGGAGGAUAAAGAAUAUUCCUCCGUGUAGAUGAAUCCACACUUGGGUUUACGGUAUUUCAAGCUGUGAGUUUGGUUAAUUUGAUUUCACCUCUGAGAGAGAGAUCCUCCAUCCUAUGUUAAAAAUAAGUCCCAGUUUCAGAGUUUGUCAUGCUCGGUGCCCUAGAUCACGAUGACUUCAGCAAGAUGAGUGUCACUCUGAGGCUGGGCCUCGGGGACAAUCAAGCCAACCUUCUCCAAGGGAAGCCCUCUACUGCUAUGUACCACGCGCCUUAAUGCACACAGGACAGCAAGUUCUAAGCCGGGUUUACCAAGGAUGUGGGUGUGACCUUGAACUCAUCACUUUCUUUCUCACUGAGCUUCCGUCUCAUAUGUGGUAGAUAAAGGAUUGGACCAAAUGAUCUCUAAUCGCUAAGAUGCUGGGAUUCGUGCUUCAACUGUGAUUUAUACAACACAGGGCUGAUUUUUUGCAGUUUAUUUCAGAAUAGCAUGGCUAAUAUUUAAGUAUUUGUGGUAGAAGAGCUUUUCAUGGGUGACUUUGUCUUGCCAUGCUCUGCUUUUGAAGGCAUUGAGACCAAGCAUCGGUGACAGCGUGACAUGGUUAAUUUCUUAGCCUCCUUCUCCUCAUAUACCUGAUCUGAAAAUAGAGAUAAUAGCUCUACCUCUUAGAACUGUUUUAAGAAUCAAGUGAGCAAAUGCAGUAAACAGUUAAUUGAUACCAGUUUGUAAGACUUGCAAAAUAAUCCAAUGAAUCUAUGAAGAUAUAGUUGGACUCUUAGCCGUCGCGUAGAUCAGAGAGCACAUUGCUUUGAAUACCUCUUUGAAUUUUCACCUAAUUGCUAUUUACCAACCUCCCUACACCACCCCAAAAAGUACAGGGGCUUGGUGCUAAAAUGCUCUAGGAAGGCAGAGGAAUUGCACAUAUAGCUCCAAGUCCCCUUCAGCUGGGAGAUAUCUACUCAAGCCCUUUAGCGAGACUUGAAAAGCAUUUGUCGGUUUUGGCUGUGUGUGUUCUGAUACAUCAGAGCAAGUGCAAUAUUUUGGCUGCAUUUAAGAAAAACAGCUUUCUGCUAAUGUGCAAAGAAAAGUUUUGGUUCCAUCUAAAUCCGAAUCCAAAUCCAAACACCCAAAAGCCCCAUUUGCAAAUUGGAACCCGAGUCAAAUUCCUUUGAGACUAGCCCAUCUCUAAUUAGCCGUACUGAGUCCCUGGGCCUAUGGAGGAACAGCCAGAGGGGCGUGUGCCACGGACAAGCCAGGGAUUUGCCCAGAAGAAAAAUGCAUUUUCUCUUGCAAGAAACACAUGUUCUCUCCCUUUGAGCUUCAAUUCCUUCGGAGACGAUGGGAAGGCAAGAAGAUAUUUUAGGGGGUGGCAUGUGAAUCUGACAGAGGGGAUAUGCCUUUAAGUAAGAGGACAAUAAAAAUGGGAAAUGAGCUUAGUCAACUGUAGCUUCUCCUGAAAAUUCCUGAUGCACAAUUAAGUAGGUUCUCAGUAAAGGAACCUAAGGGGGUGAGGGAAGAAAAAAGCAGUGUCUGAUAAAAGAGGGUCUGUGGCAUUUGCACAGGUUUAAAGGCAGAGAUGUAGGACUUUCAUGUUCAGUGGGGAGAGAGUCUAGAGAAAGCCCUUAUAUCCACGGAGAAAUACCCUCCUAAGCCAGGUAGCCUUCGCAGUGUCACGAAACAUCCCCCCAUACAAUGGUUUAAAACAAUGAUUUAUACAGAUUAUUGGGUAUAAGAUGGGCUCAAGGAUGGAUUAUAUGACACGGGCAAUAUAGCCAAUAUCUUGCAAUACCUGUAAAUAGCAACCAUUAAACAUUGUCUACAAAUAAUAAUAAAUAUAAAUUUUUUUUAAAGGUCAAAAAACCAUUUACCAUUCCUCAUGAUUCUUUGGGUUGUUGAGCUCGACCUGGUGGUUAUUCUGCUGGACUGACCUGGGGUCACCCAUGCACCUGUCAUCAUCUAGCCGCUUAACUGAGGGUGGAGGGCUUAGGAUGACCUCACUCCUGUUCCUUGACACCGCUUGUCAGCUCCCUCUCUUUCUAGGCGGUCCUCUGUCUUGGGCUUCCUCACAUAGUGAUGGGAAAGCCAAGAGGGUAAAAAUGGAAGGGGCAAGUCCCCUAAGUCUUAUUGGUCCCUGUCAUGCAGUAUCACUUCUGCAAGUGAUACCGCUGGUCAACGCCAGUCACGGAGUUACAUGCAGAGAGGAAACACCCCGUCCCUCGAUGGAAGGAGGGACAGCCUCGUCAUGCCAAGAAGCCCUGACACAGGGAGAGAUGAUUGACCGGGGCCAUUACCAAAACCAUCUCCACGCUUCUACCCCAAGGUAUGAAGCUGUGGAAAUUGCGUGCCUAUUAUGGAAUUCCCAUUUAGAAAAUGUCAGCCAAGUGUCCCCAGCCAAAAGGGUUGGACGCAGCCUUAGACAGCCACUGACCUUCAGGGUGCGCUGUCUCUGUUCUUUCUGCCAAACACCGCAGCUCUGGAUUGAGUGAUGGGUUUUUCCUUAAGACUCAUGGUUCUUUCAGACUUACCCUCAUGCCACUCAGGGUUCUUGGGAAUAAACAGUUUCGUGCUGCUUUUUGGUGUGAAAGUCCCUGACACUAAAAUGUGGAAAGAGCUCUUUCUUAUUCUCCCGGGGACACUUAUUUCUGCGUUGCACAUAAUCUCACAUAUAACUGUAUUUCUUUGUCUCGUUUUCCUGAGGGACAGACUUGAGCGUAAGGGCCGGAGCACCCCAUCCACAGGCACUCAGCAGGCUCCAUCAGGAACAAACUUGAGCAGAGAUAAAUCUAAGGACUGGAGAUACUGCGAACGCCUCUUCUCGAGAGGAGAAUGGGAGGAAUGAGCUCUCUGUGUCUAAUUUAUUCUUUGCAAAUUUAAUAAGCGCAUAAUUUAGUCCUCCUUUACUGAGGCAGAGUAAAUAAAACUGACUAGAAGUUUCCUGUGAUUGGUGUUCCCUCCACCUGGAAGGAAAGAUUAAAAAUGGAGAAAUUGGGACCUCCUGCUGUGGCUCAGCGGGUGAAGAACCGGACUAGACUCCAUGAGGUUGUGGGUUCGAUCUCUGGCCUUGCUCAGUGGGUUAAGGAUCCCACGUUGCUGUGGCUGUGGUAUAGGCUGGCAGCUGUGGCUCUGAUUCUAUCCCUAGCCUGGGAACUUCCUUAUGCCGCAGGUGUGGCCCUAAAAU
RNAcentral lists this long non-coding RNA (5560 nucleotides) under Sus scrofa (pig). Its description in RNAcentral is "lncRNA (ENSSSCG00000037997.3)". Lineage: Eukaryota; Metazoa; Chordata; Mammalia; Artiodactyla; Suidae. The record is from RNAcentral.